This 459-nucleotide ribosomal RNA is filed under the name uncultured bacterium. Its description in RNAcentral is "partial 16S ribosomal RNA". It matches the Rfam family "Bacterial small subunit ribosomal RNA", at positions 339 to 795 of the family's 1533-position model. The record is from RNAcentral.
CUACGGGUCGCAGCAGUAAGGAAUAUUGCGCAAUGGAGGCAACUCUGACGCAGCCAUGCCGCGUGCAGGAAGAAGGCCUUAUGGGUCGUAAACUGCUUUUAUUUAGGAAUAAACCCCCGAACGUGUUCGGGGCUGAAGGUACUAAACGAAUAAGCACCGGCUAACGCGUGCCAGCGAGCCGCGGUAAUACGGAGGGUGCAAGCGUUAUCCGGAUUUAUUGGGUUUAAGGGGUGCGCAGGCGGGCUAUUAAGUCAGUGGUGAAAUCCCGGGGCUCAACUCCGGAACUGCCAUUGAUACUGAUAGUCUUGAGUUUGGUUGAAGUGGGCGGAAUGUAGCAUGUAGCGGUGAAAUGCAUAGAUAUGCUACAGAACACCAAUCGCGAAGGCAGCUCACUAAGCCAAAACUGACGCUCAUGCACGAAAGCGUGGGGAUCAAACAGGAUUAGAUACCCUCGUAGUC